GCCUAUUUGGAAGCUGCCAGGUCUCUUUGAAUUGGGGCUCUCUUGGCCCUUGGGGUAAGUGAACAAGGAUGUCCUGGUCCAUCAUUUAUUAAGCAAAUUCUGCACAGCAACUCUGUAUGUGUGUCCUGCCUUGGCAAAUGUGGAAGAUCUACAAACAUGAAAAAGGCCUGAUACUUGCUUUCAUGGGACUCAUCAUCCAGGAGGCUCCCUCAGUGGCCAAGGGAAGCAAAAGUGCAGGCUUCUAUCCCUUGGGACACUUCAUGGUCCAAGAUAGCUGCUGGUGUGACAGGGAUACUACCCAUUCAACAGGCCCUGGACCUCACUGAUACCAGGCUUGACCAAGUCCUGGAAGACUAACUUGGCCUAACUGAAAUGCACAUGAAAUGGAGACAAAAACCAACAGUACACGAUAUGACUGCUCCUAGAAAUUAUAACUCUAUUGAAAGGAAUUUAAGAAGUAAUGCAUGUCAAAAAAAAAAAAAAAAAAAGAACUAGUGUACGUCAUUCUACUAAAGGAAACAAAAUCACUACAUUAAAGAGUUUUCUGCACCCCCUUCUCACUGCAGGAUUAUUUACACUAGCCAAGACAUGAACACAACCUAAGUGUCCAUCAAUGGAUGAAUGAAGAAGAUGUGGUAUAUACAUAAGUGGACACCUGGGAGGCUCAAUAGAUUAAAAGUCCUACCGGAUCUCAGCUCUGGUCUUGAUCUCAAGUUUGUGAAUUCAAGCCCCACAUUGGGCUCCACACUGGGCACAAAGCCUACUUAAAAAAAGAGGAUGAUGAAGAUGUGGCAUAUACAUAAAUAGAAUCUUUCAGUCAUAAAAAAAAAAAGGAAAUCCUUCCACUUGCAACAGCAUGAUUGGACUUUGAAGGCAUUGUGCUAAGUGAAAUCAGAGAAAGUCAAAUACUGAAUGAUCUUAUAUGUGGAAUCUAAAAAAAAUGAGCUCAUAGAAACAGAACAGAUUGGCAGUUACCAGAGGCAGGGGCUUGGGCUGAGGGAAAUGGGUGAAGGUGGUCAAAAGCUACAAACUUUUAGUAAUAAGAUUAAUAUGUUCUGAUGUUGUAAUACACACCAUGGUGACUAAUAAUACUUUGCUAUAUAUUGAAAGCUGCUAAGAGAGUAGAUCUUAAAAGUUCUCAUCACAAGAAAAAAAGUGGGGACUAUGUUAGGCAACAGAUGUUAGCUAGACUUACUGUGGCAAUCAUUUCACAAUAUAUACAUAUACCAAACCAUUAUGUUGUACUCUUUAAACUAAUACAGUGUUGUAUGUCAAUUAUAUCUCAAUGCAACGGCUGGUGGGGUAGCAAAUUGAGAUAUGAAUUUAACAGAGAACAAGGAUAAAAAUCAUAAUUCAUUUAUAACAGGGUAGAUACUUUCUAUUUUAUGUCCUUAGGAAUAUUCUAGUUUAAACAUCUUGCUUUUUGCUUCUUUCCUUCCUUCCCCCAUUCAUGAUUAAGUCUUCCGUUUUAUCAUCUAAGUGACUGGUUUGCAAGUUACCCUUACACUCCUAAACACUGGGUUAUACCACAUACUGGUCAUUGAAUACUGAUUUUUCAAACAGUGAGACUCCCAGAACAGAUGACUUUUAAUUCACUGAAGGGAAUUUAACCUUUUUAUUUUUAGCUGUUCAGAAGUCUCGACUUUAGUCAUCAAACAUUUACUGAUCACCUACAUUAGGAACAGUGUUAGGCACAGGCUACAAAAAAUGAAUACAGCCCAGACCCUGCCCUGGAGAUGCUCUCAGUCUUGUGGUGGAGGCACACAAGCAAGUGUGCAGUAAUGGCAUUGGCACGACACAGUGGCCAAGGACAUCAAAGACUGCUUGGAGAGCAGGGUGGGUGUCGAGGACAGGAGAGGCUUCGUGGGCAUGAUGAUAUUUAGGAAGAAUCUUGAAAGGUGAGAAAGACUCAAAUAGUGAACAAGGGAAAGGAAGGCCUACCAGGUAGAGGGAAGAGUAUUUAGCAAAAGCACAGAGGUGUGGCAUAUAAGGACACCUGAUUUACAACAAAAGCUUUAUGGCAAUUCAGUAGAGAAAUGAUAGUCUUUUUGAUAGUUGAUGCUGGGCCAGUGGAAUGUCCACAUGGGGGAAAAAAACGAAUUCAAUCUCUGCCUCCCACCAUACACAAAAAUUAAUUUAUGAUAGAUCUUAGAACUAAAUGUGAAAAUAAAAUCAAUAAGGUAUGUAGAAAAAAGAUAGGAAAAUAUCUUCAUGAUCUUGGGAUAAGCAAAGAUUCCUUAAAACAAAAAACACUAACUUUAAAAUUUUGAUAAAUUGAAUUUCAUUAAAAUUUAAAACUUUGGCAAAAACCAACAGAAGAUUGGAGGAGUAGAAAAGCAAGCCACUGGCUGGAGGAUACAUAUAUCCAACAAGGAAUUUGUAUCCAUACUGUAUUAAGAACAGAAAAUCAGUAAGAAAUACACAAAGUGUGCAGAAGAAUUGAACAGGCACUACACACAUACACACACACACACACACACACACACACACACACACACAUCAAAAUGGCUGAUAAAAGUCUCUCCAAGACCAAUGGUAGGACCUGGGGUUUCAUUCUGCAUUUAAGCAGGGAGCAUCAUGGUGGUGGUGGUGGUAGAGGAGGAGGGAGUCUGAGCAGGGGAGUGUCAUGACCCAAAUUUAGGCUCUCCAAAGCAUUUGGAAGCAGGAAGACCUGUUAAUACAUGACUGGAAAACUCAGCAGAGCUAUCCCCAUAGAAGACCUUAUAUAAGAACAAUUGAAGUCAGGGUGUGACUUGCUCAGUUUCAUGUGCUAGAAAAAUCACAUUGGCUACUAUGGAGAGUGACCUUGGAGAGAGUGGGGUUGGGGGGAGCCAGGUGAGUGACCGUGAGUAUACUUCCAACUCUUCCUCAGGAUCACCAUUCUAAGCAUCUAUAC
Molecule: long non-coding RNA, 2896 nt
Organism: Felis catus (domestic cat)
Lineage: Eukaryota; Metazoa; Chordata; Mammalia; Carnivora; Felidae
Exons: 5
Source: RefSeq, a predicted model, not a curated record